Molecule: ribosomal RNA, 557 nt
Filed under: uncultured cyanobacterium
Lineage: Bacteria; Bacillati; Cyanobacteriota
Description: bacterial SSU rRNA
Rfam family: Bacterial small subunit ribosomal RNA
Source: RNAcentral
GCUUAGAGUUUGAUCCUGGCUCAGGAUGAACGCUGGCGGUAUGCUUAACACAUGCAAGUCGAACGGAGUACUUCGGUACUUAGUGGCGGACGGGUGAGUAACGCGUGAGAAUCUGCCUUCAGGAUGGGGAUAACAGUGGGAAACCAGUGCUAACACCCAAUGAGCCGAGAGGUAAAAAAUUUAUUGCCUGAAGAGGAGCUCGCGUCCGAUUAGUUAGUUGGUGGGGUAAAGGCCUACCAAGGCGGCGAUCGGUAACUGGUCUGAGAGGACGAUCGGUCACACUGGGACUGAGACACGGCCCAGACUCCUACGGGAGGCAGCAGUGGGGAAUUUUCCGCAAUGGGGGCAACCCUGACGGAUCAAUACCGCGUGAGGGAGGAAGGCCUUUGGGUUGUAAACCUCUUUUCUUAAGGAAGAAGCUCUGACGGUACUUAAGGAAUCAGCAUCGGCUAACUCCGUGCACAGCAGCCGCGGUAAUACGGAGGAUGCAAGCGUUAUCCGGAAUUAUUUGGACGUAAAGCGUCCGCAGGCGGCAUUAUAAGUCUGCUGUCAAAGAC